Molecule: long non-coding RNA, 734 nt
Organism: Mytilus californianus (California mussel)
Lineage: Eukaryota; Metazoa; Mollusca; Bivalvia; Mytilida; Mytilidae
Exons: 3
Source: RefSeq, a predicted model, not a curated record
UAAUCACCUAGCAUAAAGGGAGGUAAUAACUUGAUAUAGGAUUUUAGUGUUACAUAAUCACCUAGCAUAAAGGGAGAUAAUAACUUGAUAUAGGACUUUAGAGUUACAUAACCACCUAUUAUAAAGGGAGAUAAUAACUUGAUAUAGGAUUUUAGUGUUACAUAACCACCUAUUAUAAAGGGAGGUAAUAACUUGAUAUAGGAUUUUAGUGUUACAUAAUCACCUAGCAUAAAGGGAGGUAAUAACUUGAUAUAGGAUUUUAGUGUUACAUAAUCACAUAUCAUAAAGGGAGGUAAAUCAAAUUGCUUUACCAUCAUUGAAUAUAUAAUAUAAUACUUAUAUCUUGUUUGUAAGAUCAGCAUAAUUUUAUGCAUGAUUUAACUAGGAGUAUAUUGGCAUAAUUACUUAGAAGAACAUCAAAUUUUACAUCCUGGGCUAUUAAGUAUAGAAAUAAAUUGAACAGAUAUUUCGGACUACUAGAAUAUUGCUUCCCAUAAUUUUUAUGUUAACAGAUAUAGUUAGAAAUUAGUUGAAUCAUCUUAAACAAAGACCACGUUUUUUAGAUUUCCUAUGAAAUGUCAAUUUUGUAUAUUCUAUUAACAUAUACAUUUUUAUGUAAAAACUAAGAUUGUAUUUUAUUUUGAGCCUUUUGCUUUUAAGACAAUUCCUGGAAGAUAUUCAAGUGAAUUGAUGCACAUUCUGUACUUUUAAAAUAGGGGUGUUAAUUGACCUUG